AGGGCACCACCAGGAGUGGAGCCUGCGGCUUAAUUUGACUCAACACGGGGAAACUCACCCGGCCCGGACACCGUAAGGAUUGACAGAUUGAUAGCUUUUUCAUGAUUCGGUGGAUGGUGGUGCAUGGCCGUUCUUAGUUCGUGGAGCGAUUUGUCUGGUUUAUUCCGAUAACGAGCGAGACUCUAGCCUACUAAAUAGUUCGCACAUUGUCUCUGUGUGUGUGACUUCUUAGAGGGAUUUUCGGUGUUCAGCCGCACGAAAUUGAGCAAUAACAGGUCUGUGAUGCCCUUAGAUGCCCGGGGCUGCACGCGCGCUACACUGGCAAAAUCAGCGUGCUUGUCCUUCCCCGAAAGGGGUUGGUAAACCCUUGAAAAUUUGCCGUGGUUGGGAUUGGAAAUUGCAAUUAUUUUCCAUGAACGAGGAAUUCCAAGUAAGUGCGAGUCAUCAGCUCGCGUUGAUUACGUCCCUGCCCUUUGUACACACCGCCCGUCGCUGCCCGGGACUGAGCCAUUUCGAGAA
Molecule: ribosomal RNA, 519 nt
Filed under: uncultured eukaryote
Lineage: Eukaryota
Description: SSU rRNA
Rfam family: Eukaryotic small subunit ribosomal RNA
Source: RNAcentral